Molecule: RNA transcript, 4127 nt
Organism: Anolis sagrei ordinatus
Lineage: Eukaryota; Metazoa; Chordata; Lepidosauria; Squamata; Anolidae
Gene name: microtubule cross-linking factor 3-like
Source: RefSeq, a predicted model, not a curated record
GCAGCGCCGCCUCCCACACACACAGCAGCGCAGGAGCCGGCGAGGAAGAAGGAGAGGAAGAGGAGGAGGGAGGGGAAGAGGAGGAGGAGGAGAGAGGAGGCUCCGGCCCCGCCCAGGAGAGCAGGUGGCCGAGCGCGGCCCUCCUCCCGUUCCCUUCCGUGCGGGAAGGAAGAGGCCCUGCAAUCGGGAGGAGCGGCGAAGCGGGCAUCCGCAGCAUCAGCACCAGGCGCAGCAUCUCCUCCGGCAGAGCCUGCCUCUCUGGGAGGCCAAAGCGGCGGCGGGUGGCGUCCCCGGGAGCCCCUUGGUCUCUGGCCCAGAUGCAGCGGGAAGGCAGCGGCCCGGCAGAGGAGGGCGAGGCCGGGCAGACCGAGCCCAACGUCGCCACCACCACCGCCUCUCCUUCGCUAAUGGCGCCGGCGGGGCCCGAGGAAGAGGAAGAGGAGGAGGAGGAGGGAGGCGAAGGACGGAGCGGGGCCCCCGAAGGCGCCUCCAGCCUCAGCCCCCGGGAGCAGGUGGAGCUGCAGGAGGAGGUGGAGGGCCUGCGGGAGGAAAACGAGACCCUCAAGAAUGAAAUAGAUGAGCUGAGAAAUGAGAUGGAUGAGAUGAGAGACAGUUUCUUCGAGGAGGACGCCUGCCAGUUACAGGAAAUGCGGCGCGAGUUGGAGAGGGCCAACAAAAAUUGCCGGAUUCUUCAGUACCGUCUUCGAAAGGCAGAACGCAAGCGGCUUCGCUAUGCUCAAACUGGGGAGAUUGAUGGAGAACUUCUCCGUAGUUUGGAGCAGGACUUGAAGGUUGCAAAAGACGUUUCAGUUAGACUUCACCAUGAACUGGAAAACGUGGAAGAAAAACGAACAACCACCGAAGAUGAAAAUGAAAAAUUAAGACAGCAGUUAAUUGAAGUAGAUAUUGCUAAGCAGGCUCUACAGAAUGAAUUUGACAAGAUGAAAGAGCAGUCCAUGAAAAGAAGAGGAAGCAAAGACUUGCCAAAAUCUGAAAAAAAGGCACAGCAGACACCCACUGAGGAGGAUAGUGAAGAUUUGAAAUGCCAGUUGCAGUUUGUCAAAGAGGAAGCUGUGCUGAUGAGGAAAAAAUUGGCCAAAAUCGACAAGGAAAAGGAUAAAUUUGAGCAUGACCUGCAAAAAUAUAGGUCACUUUAUGGUGAUCUAGAUAGUCCUUUACCAAAAGGGGAAGCUGGAGGUCCACCUACCACAAGAGAAUCAGAGCUUAAGCUUCGUCUGAGGUUAGUAGAGGAAGAAGCCAAUAUUCUGGGAAGGAAAAUCGUGGAACUGGAAGUAGAAAACAGAGGGCUAAAAGCAGAACUUGAUGACUUGAGAGGAGAUGAUUUCUCAGGGGCUGCUAAUCCCCUUUUGGGGGAGCAGAAUGAGUCACUCUCAGAAUUACGACAACAUCUGCAGCUCGUUGAGGAUGAAACUGAACUGUUGAGGAGAAACCUGGCAGAUGUAGAGGAACAAAACAAGCGCAUCACUACAGAGCUGAACAAAUACAAAUAUAAGUCUGGGGCUCAUGAUAAUUCAAGACACCAUGACAAUGCAAAGACUGAAGCUCUUCAAGAAGAACUCAAAGCUGCCCGCAUGCAGAUCAAUGAACUCAGUGGCAAAGUCAUGCAACUGCAGUAUGAGAAUAAAGUCCUGAUGUCCAACAUGCAACGUUAUGAUUUGGCUUCCCAUCUGGGAAUCCGGGGCAGUCCCAGAGACAGUGAUGCUGAGAGUGAUGCUGGGAAAAAAGAAAGUGAUGAUGAUUCUCGCCCUCCACAUCGUAAAAGAGAAGGGCCUGUUGGUGGGGAAAGUGACUCUGAAGAGGUCCGCAAUAUUCGUUGCUUGACUCCCACAAGAUCCUUGUAUCCAUCACCAGUGGGGUGGCAGAAAGGCCCCACAGACAGGCAACAAAUGAAGGACAUCCGGUGUGAAGCAGAACGAUUGGGCAAAACAAUAGACCGUCUGAUUUCAGACACAAGCACUAUAAUCACAGAGGCAAGAAUUUAUGUGGCAAAUGGGGACAUGUUUGGAGUUAUGGAUGACGAAGACGAUGGCAGUAGGAUACGGGAACACGAACUCCUUUAUCGGAUAAAUGCCCAGAUGAAGGCAUUUAGGAAAGAGCUCCAGGCCUUCAUUGACAGAUUAGAAGUUCCAAAAUCCUCGGAUGAGCGAAGUACUGAUGAACCAUCAUCACUGAGUCAGAUAGGAAAUCCAAGAGCUAUAGUUUCUGUAAAAAGUCACUGCUGUAAAAACACUGAAGACUACUUGUUUGAAAUAAAGGGAAUCAGUCCUUGAGAUGCCAAAACAUAAUAGAAGUAAAAGCUGGAAAUUUUCACAACUGAAUCAGAAUUGCAGAAAUUGUGUGUAAGCAGGAUCAAUAUUUUAAGAACUUGAAAGCUUUUCUCUGCCUCCUGCUUUCACCACCACUUUACAUUUAGCCUGACAUCUUUCUGAAGGGAUUCUUUCCAUGCAAAAGCUUUGCCAGGCAAAAAUGAAUGCAAGAGAGGAACGUUAAUCCCUUGAAGAACAUAGUUUUGUGUAUUCCUGUACUUCGGAACAGACUGUCGCUAGACAAAGAGCAACUGCUCACAAGGCAGAAGAAGAAAGCAAGAAUGUGUCUGUGCCAGCUCAACAUUCAAAUGGGAAAGCCUUCUCUUGGCCAACUGAGCCAGUGAACAAACAAUUUUCAAAUGGGCCUCUAUCACCGCUUGCCAUGAAAAGGACAAUUUUUCCAAACUCAAGAAUAGACUCAAUGCAGUUGUGAAAGCUCCAUGCAUCGUAAGGACUCUCAGCUCCAUGACCACAACCAAUUCUGUGCAGUUGCAUGAUGGUCUAUAGAAACCUUAUCUUUUGCUGGAGAAAGAGUUUUGAUUCUCAGAACAUCCUUAGUCUUCAGUGUUUUUAUCGACUGGAUAAAGAUAUUCCCUGCAUCUGUAUAUAUCCUUUUAUAACUCACUGUUACUUUUCUUUUGAAUGACAUAUGCCUAUCUUCAUGUUUACUAACUAAUUUUGUAUGGUAUAGUUCUGCAUAUUCUGAAUUUUCUCUCAAACAGCACAUAGAAAUGCUGUAUGCAUGACCAUAUGUUUGUAGGUGCAUGUGUUGGAAUAGAAAGUGUAUCAGUCUGUAUUUAGAAGAGAAAAUUCAAUACUAGUAUUGACAUUGAAAUUACAAGCCAAUAUACAUACAUAUAUACAUAACACAAAUACAACAUUUUGUGAUUUAUUUCAAAGAUUUUAAAAAUGUAUUGCUCUGAUGACCAUGAUAUUUGUAGUAUCGUUUACAGGUUUCACAACUCUAGUAUUUGAUAUACAAAAACAAACAAAUACACUUUUGUAGCUAUGAUAACAGCAAAAAAGCAGUUGCACAAUAUGUAUCAGAAGCGUAUUAGAUUAAUAGAUGCAUUGUGCUUAAUGCUACCUUACAUUCUUUCUUUCCCAGUAUUGCUCAAAAUGAGCAAAAUGAGUUCCCUGUUAUUUAUAAUUGCUUUAACUUUUUUUCAGUGCACAGCCAUUCCAAAAAUGACGAUCUGCCUUACUAUUCAACAUAGCGCAGGGAGAGGACUCAGUUGAGUUUAUUUAGGCAACAACAUUUGUUAGCAGGAAAGGGGGAGCACUAAAGAACAUGACACACAUCUUCACAGUGGUUUUAAUUCUUUUAGUUAUAUCUUUUAGUUAGAUCAAUUCAAUCAGUGACAUAUACUUUAUGUUGUUUCCCCACCCAACAGUUUACCCAAUGACCGAACUCCAUUUGGGACUAACAAGUAAGAUUUAGGGCAAUAUCUUAGCACACAAUUAAAUCCUUAAACAAAAACCCUUAAAACCUCCUGUGUCAUUGCCAAAUUCUGUCAAUGAUAGGGGCUGAGGUGAGGAAACCACUGUAAUCAUAAUCGGGUAUGAAGUUAAAAGAGAUCUGGAUGAUGGAAAGGCUAGAUAAAGACUGGUUUUGGUGACAGAUUCACAUUUCUUACAACAUUUCACUCCUUUUUCAAGUUAUAUACAAGUAAUGUUAUGAUUAUUAGAUGGUCACUGCUUAACCUAGUCUGUAUGAUGUUGGUUCAGAUUGUUUUGCCUAGUUUGGUUUGUCCGCAUUCAGUCAGGACUUGGAUCUGAUAAAGCAUGGUCCAUCAUGUC